CCGUAGGGUGGUACACCCACAAAGGGCUGGGCAAGACCGGUGCCAGCCGCCGCGGUAAUACCGGCAGCCCGAGUGAUGGCCCGAUCUUAUUGGGCCUAAAGCGUCCGUAGCUGGCUGCGCAAGUCCGUCGGGAAAUCCACUCGCCCAACGAGUGGGCGUCCGACGGAAACUGCACAGCUUGGGACCGGAAGGCUCGAAGGGUACGUUCGGGGUAGGAGUGAAAUCCCAUAAUCCCGCACGGACCACCGAUGGCGAAAGCACUUCGAGAAAACGGAUCCGACAGUGAGGGACGAAAGCCAGGGUCUCCAACCGGAUUAGAUACCCGGGUAGUCCUGGCCGUAAACAAUGUUCGCUAGGUAUGACACAGACUACGUGUCUCUGUGUGCCGUAGGAAGCCGAGAAGCGAACCGCC
This 412-nucleotide ribosomal RNA is filed under the name uncultured haloarchaeon. Its description in RNAcentral is "bacterial SSU rRNA". It matches the Rfam family "Archaeal small subunit ribosomal RNA", at positions 417 to 828 of the family's 1478-position model. The record is from RNAcentral. Lineage: Archaea; Methanobacteriati; Methanobacteriota; Halobacteria; Halobacteriales; Halobacteriaceae.